RNAcentral lists this ribosomal RNA (479 nucleotides) under uncultured bacterium. RNAcentral's name for it is "partial 16S ribosomal RNA". It matches the Rfam family "Bacterial small subunit ribosomal RNA", at positions 28 to 507 of the family's 1533-position model. The record is from RNAcentral.
GACGAACGCUGGCGGCGUGCUUAACACAUGCAAGUCGAACGAAGCUUGAUUACGGAUUCUUCGGAUGAAGUAUGAUAUGACUGAGUGGCGGACGGGUGAGUAACGCGUGAGUAACCUGCCCUUCAGAGGGGGAUAGCGUUUGGAAACGAACGGUAAUACCGCAUAAUGUAUUUUGACCGCAUGAUCGAAAUCCCAAAGAUUUAUCGCUGAAGGAUGGACUCGCGUCUGAUUAGGUAGUUGGUGGGGUAACGGCCUGCCAAGCCGACGAUCAGUAGCCGGACUGAGAGGUUGAUCGGCCACAUUGGGACUGAGACACGGCCCAGACUCCUACGGGAGGCAGCAGUGGGGAAUAUUGCACAAUGGGCGCAAGCCUGAUGCAGCAACGCCGCGUGAAGGAAGACGGUUUUCGGAUUGUAAACUUCUGUUCUUAGUGAAGAAUAAUGACGGUAGCUAAGGAGCAAGCCACGGCUAACUACGUG